GCAAAGUAGAAUUCAUGUUAUUGUAGAUGCCCCUUCUAGAAUUUGGACCUUAUAUUUGUCCAUAUAUGCCACAUGCAAGAGUAGUGUGCCAUGCCCGGAUAGAAAACUGAUGUUGCCUUCAGUAUACUGUCAUGCCUAUCUGAAACAACACACAUUGAAGGUCUUUCACCAUAUGCCUCCGUGAACUGCUCAAAGAACAACUUCCAAGA
Molecule: long non-coding RNA, 209 nt
Filed under: Nicotiana benthamiana
Lineage: Eukaryota; Viridiplantae; Streptophyta; Magnoliopsida; Solanales; Solanaceae
Description: long non-coding RNA (NBEN_LNC016992)
Source: RNAcentral